UAAUCCCUAGGCCCAAGGUCUCUAGCUGACCAACUGUGGCUCAGAUGCUGGCUCUUGGCCAACACAGCUCUUCAAGCGUGAACUGAUUUGACAGCUACUGUAGCCACCUUGCUCUGAUAUAUCCACACAAGGACUCUCCUUUCAAGCUUUUCCUUCCUUCAUGAGCAAACUGUUUUCAUGCUAAUCUCAACUUAUUUUACUCUUGCAGGGUGCUGAAGAAAUUUCCAAGCCUGGUACAACAUCCUCGUCAGACAUGACCCCACAAUCCUCCCUAGCAUAAUAGUGCAUAAUUGCAUAUGUGUGAAUCUAAAGAGGAGAAAGCAGGUGAAUUGCUUCCUCUUUCCAACACAUUUGGCUGUGGAGUUGUAAUGGUCAGAGUGCAGUUUUUCACUCAGCAGCCACUACUUUCUUUUGCCACUCUGUGAACAUGUAGACUCCAGCGAUAACACAUUAUUAUUUUUUUAAAUGAACAUGACCCACCUAAACAAACAGCUUGGUCAUUAAUCAUUUCAACUAAAGUAUGAUAUCAAAAGGAGUGCACUGUCUCCAGCUGGGGGAUGCCUUCCUCAUGGAGGCAUGUGUUCUCUGUGCAGCUGCAUGCCAAGCCUUCCUAAAUAUGCUCUAAUGCCACUUUUAACUGUGUAGGAAGACUAAGAAAUGCAUGUGUGUUUGUUAGGGGUCUCUGAUUUUACACAGGAAAAACCUUAAACAAACAACCCCGCCCACACUACACUAAACGGUAACGUGGUCUAGGCUGGGUUCACUGCCACGCUGCGCUGGUCAUGGGCGCCCCUCAGGCCGGACCGCACCCUGCCCCCUCACAUGGGAGUUGCAGAAGGCACCAGGAGCGGUACCGGUACCGACACCGGCCCCAGCGCCCGUUUGCUGCGGCAGGCGGAUACCUGCUGCCCUCGGCUCGGGCGCAGGACUGACAUCACACCCAGGAUUUCCAUCUGACUGAGGGGAAGAGGAGGAGAUUGAGCGGAGCGGCAGCGUGAUGGCGGUGGUCGGAAGGACUUAAGAAGCGGCGGCACAGCACAGCGCUUACUGUUUUUUCCCAGGCU
Molecule: long non-coding RNA, 1064 nt
Filed under: Anser brachyrhynchus (Pink-footed goose)
Lineage: Eukaryota; Metazoa; Chordata; Aves; Anseriformes; Anatidae
Description: lncRNA (ENSABRG00000018568.1)
Source: RNAcentral